RNAcentral lists this ribosomal RNA (253 nucleotides) under uncultured bacterium. Its description in RNAcentral is "partial 16S ribosomal RNA". It matches the Rfam family "Bacterial small subunit ribosomal RNA", at positions 524 to 776 of the family's 1533-position model. The record is from RNAcentral.
UACGUAGGGUGCAAGCGUUGUCCGGAAUUAUUGGGCGUAAAGGGCUCGUAGGCGGUCUGUCACGUCGGGAGUGAAAACUCGGGGCUUAACCCCGAGCCUGCUUCCGAUACGGGCAGACUAGAGGUAUGCAGGGGAGAAUGGAAUUCCUGGUGUAGCGGUGAAAUGCGCAGAUAUCAGGAGGAACACCAAUGGCGAAGGCAGAUCUCUGGGCCGUAACUGACGCUGAGGAGCGAAAGCAUGGGGAGCGAACAGG